Molecule: ribosomal RNA, 117 nt
Filed under: Dactylococcopsis salina PCC 8305
Lineage: Bacteria; Bacillati; Cyanobacteriota; Cyanophyceae; Nodosilineales; Cymatolegaceae
Source: RNAcentral
CCUAGUGCUGAAGGCGCGGUGGAACCACUCCGAUCCAUCCCGAACUCGGGUGUGAAACGCUGCAGCGGCGAAGAUACUUGACGGGACACUGUCUGGGAAAAUAGCUCGGUGCCAGGU